RNAcentral lists this ribosomal RNA (497 nucleotides) under uncultured bacterium. RNAcentral's name for it is "partial 16S ribosomal RNA". It matches the Rfam family "Bacterial small subunit ribosomal RNA", at positions 28 to 507 of the family's 1533-position model. The record is from RNAcentral.
GACGAACGCUGGCGGCGUGCCUAAUACAUGCAAGUUGAGCGAUGAAGAUUGGUGCUUGCACCAAUUUGAAGAGCAGCGAACGGGUGAGUAACGCGUGGGGAAUCUGCCUUUGAGCGGGGGACAACAUUUGGAAACGAAUGCUAAUACCGCAUAAUAACUUUAAACAUAAGUUUUAAGUUUGAAAGAUGCAAUUGCAUCACUCAAAGAUGAUCCCGCGUUGUAUUAGCUAGUUGGUGAGGUAAAGGCUCACCAAGGCGAUGAUACAUAGCCGACCUGAGAGGGUGAUCGGCCACAUUGGGACUGGGACACGGCCCAAACUCCUACGGGAGGCAGCAGUAGGGAAUCUUCGGCAAUGGACGAAAGUCUGACCGAGCAACGCCGCGUGAGUGAAGAAGGUUUUCGGAUCGUAAAACUCUGUUGGUAGAGAAGAACGUUGGUGAGAGUGGAAAGCUCAUCAAGUGACGGUAACUACCCAGAAAGGGACGGCUAACUACGUG